GUAAAACUUUAGAGGUAUGAAUUUCACCAAAACAGGUGUGGACUCACCCGCCGUGCGUGUGUGUGUGUGUGUGUUUGUGUGUGCUUGAGCGUGCGUGCAUCAAGGGUCAUGUGGUGAAGGUGUUGGUUUUCUCAAGUGGUGGUGGUGUUAGUGGUAGUGGCGGUGGGGGUGGUGGUGACUAUCCUAGUGCCGCGCCGCGCCGGGCCGCACCGCGCUGCGCCUAGCAAGUGUUUCAGCAGGCGGGCGCGUCGUCUCAAGGCGUCACGCUGCUGAUGGCAUGUAAUAUCGGCGGAAAUUAAUUGACGAAGUUGACUCCUGGGAAAUCGGACGUGCGGUUGAAAAUUUUGGACCAAUCAUAGGGCAGCUGAGGCAGAGCGGCGGGUCAGUCGCCCUUUGGUCGCUGGUGUGGGAGGCUGUGCGCCGCCGCCCUCUGAGUCCCACGCCCCGCCGCCGCGCCCUGGCUCAGUGUGAGCGUCCCUCGCGUCGCGGUGUGUUCGCGCCCCGCACUCGACGAAAACAGCAAUAUGAGUGGAGUGCCGAGCUGUGGCGAUUUGCACAGUGAAGGGAAGCACACGGCAACACGACGCCAAGCAGAAAUAGAAGCCAAGUAAGAGAAUAUUGUGAAGACUGGUAGAAAUUAAAGCGAGAAAUAAUAGAAGGAACAGGCUCAGAAUAACAGGAAGCGGAUGUGAAGCGUAUAUCAGUUGAAAGCUACAAAAUUCGACUGAUUGGAAUUGGAUACAGAAAUGAAGGAAAGAGAAAUGUAAAAGAGAAAACAAAAUAGAUUCUGAAUGAUCGAUAUGGAAGUGAGAAAGGAGAAAAGGAUAACGAAUAAUGA
Portunus trituberculatus (swimming crab) is the source of this 838-nucleotide long non-coding RNA. RefSeq lists it as uncharacterized. The record is from RefSeq and is a predicted model, not a curated record. The transcript has 2 exons. NCBI's taxonomy places the organism in Eukaryota, Metazoa, Arthropoda, Malacostraca, Decapoda, Portunidae.